UAGCCUUUGACAUCCUAGGACGACUUCUGGAGACAGAUUUCUCCUUCGGGACCUAGUGACAGGUGCUGCAUGGCUGUCGUCAGCUCGUGUCGUGAGAUGUUGGGUUAAGUCCCCGCAACGAGCGCAACCCUCGUCCUUAGUUGCCAUCAUUAAGUUGGGCACCUUAAGGAAACUGCCGGUGAUAAGCCGGAGGAAGGUGGGAUGACGUCAAGUCCUCAUGGCCCUUACAGGCUGGGCUACACACGUGCUACAAUGGCAUCUACAGUGGGCAGCUAUUCCGCAAGGAUGCGCUAAUCUCCAAAAGAUGUCUCAGUUCGGAUUGUCCUCUGCAACUCGAGGGCAUGAAGGCGGAAUCGCUAGUAAUCGCGGAUCAGCAUGCCGCGGUGAAUACGUUCCCAGGCCUU
Molecule: ribosomal RNA, 404 nt
Filed under: uncultured Porphyrobacter sp.
Lineage: Bacteria; Pseudomonadati; Pseudomonadota; Alphaproteobacteria; Sphingomonadales; Erythrobacteraceae
Description: bacterial SSU rRNA
Rfam family: Bacterial small subunit ribosomal RNA
Source: RNAcentral